This 1198-nucleotide ribosomal RNA is filed under the name Triticum aestivum (bread wheat). RNAcentral's name for it is "partial small subunit ribosomal RNA". The record is from RNAcentral. Lineage: Eukaryota; Viridiplantae; Streptophyta; Magnoliopsida; Poales; Poaceae.
GUGAUGGAAGUGCACCCUAUGUUAGUAGGGUCAGCAUCGAUGAAGCCAGAAGGAGGGAAAAUGUCAACCCCGACAAUGAAGAUAACAUUCUGAUGGGGAAUGGUUCAGCUCCAAGAGAGACAGCUUGGAAAAGGGCUUGUAAGCAAUGACAUCUAUUAUAUUUGGAACCAUGGCCCCAAGUUUGGUGGGGGAUUUGAUUGUCGAUACUGCCCCCUAAUCACUAGAGGAGGAGGUGCAACCUGCUUUAGGGAGCACCUUGGAGGUAUACCAGGUGAUGUGAGGGAGUUCCCUAAUGUUCCAAGAAAUAUCCGUGCUGCAAUGAGGGAAUCCCGGGAUGCUCAAUGCGGAAGAAGAGGGAAAAGAAAAAUCUUAGAUGGAUACAACCAUGUUUGAUGCAAAAAAUCCUAUGAUGGAAUGGUUGAAUGAGGAUGAGGAGCAUGCAAUCUUGGAUGGAGUUGAUGCUGCUACCGCCGUGUUUGAGAAAAUACGUUUGCUUAACUCAAGUAGGAAAGUGUCUCGUCUUGCAAGGAAGGACAAUGGCAGGAAAAGAAAGAGGGUAGAGGAAGAAGAGGAUGACUACCAUGAUAGUGAGGAUGAUGAUGAAGAAAAUGAGGACCUGGAACUGGAAAUUGAUGAUGAUGAUGAUGAUAGCCAUGAUGAUGGUGCAAGUCAAUCUGAUGGAGGAGAUUUGCCAAUGCAAGUUGAAAAGGAUUUAGCAAGCCAAGUUGGAAACGAUGUUGAGGUAACAAGUGAUGGUAGUUUGGUUAACCGUAGAUCUGAACGGGUUAGGCAAGCCAAGAAGGUCAAGGAGGUAGAUCACCAGCCUUUACAAUUGACAAGUUAAGCGGCAUGGGAGCAAAAGAGCUUUUGGUUUGAUGAAGACCAACGGGUGGAUGAACAGGAAGUCCUAAGUGAAGGUCUCUGUUCGAUUCAAUACUUUUGGUGCAAGACUGAAGAGUUGAAGAACAGGAAGUCUGAAUUGAACUUUCUGUUUGUAUUUUGGAGUCGGCAUAAUUGGACUUCGAAUGUCGUGUUAAAUUUAUCGUGGACUGUAAUUCUGAACCGUUAUGGGUGUUUGUUUCGGCUCUUGGUAGAACUAUUAAGUCGCAUGUUACUCUUAGUAUCUGAACUAUCAAGUCACAUGUUAAUCUGGACUUUCAUGUUGCUUUUCUAAUGGUUGCUGCUCUCCGAAUUGAUC